UGAACGAGUAUGAUGGUUUAAUAAAUUAAUAAGAUUUUUGAAUGAAUAAUUUAAUUUUUAUUUUAAGUAAAAAUACUUAAAUGGCUUAGGGGGACGAUAAGACCCUAAAAUCUUUAACUUGUUACGGCUGAGUGAUAGUAGUGAUAAAGGGGGCUUCAAAUAAAGUUUUAGCUGGGGUAGUUUUUUUAUAUAAAUUAAGAUUAGAUAGGGCUGAGAAGGUUUUAUGUUCCUUUACAUAAGGAAAAAUUGGACUAGUUACUUUAGGGGUAACAGCGUAAUAUUUUUGGAGAGAUCUUAUUUAUAAAAAUGAUUGCGACCUCGAUGUUGAAUUAAAUUAAGUUUAUGGGGCAGAAAACAUAAAAUAGAGGUUUGUUCAACCUGUGAAAUUUUACAUGAUUU
Molecule: ribosomal RNA, 399 nt
Filed under: Rhachotropis sp. BOLD:ADF7874
Lineage: Eukaryota; Metazoa; Arthropoda; Malacostraca; Amphipoda; Eusiridae
Description: partial 16S ribosomal RNA
Source: RNAcentral